UACGAGGGGGACAAGUGUUAUUCCCACUAACUGGGCGUAAAGCGCUUCUAGGCAGUUGUUGCCGCCAAAGGUGAAUUACUAGAGUUGAUUUUAGACCGGCCUUUUGAUACGAACAACUUUGAGUUGGAGCACGGGGGAUGCACUACGUUGGGGAGUAGGGGUAAAAAAUGUCAAUACCCAACGAGUACCAGGGGCAGAGGCGGCA
This 205-nucleotide ribosomal RNA is filed under the name uncultured bacterium. RNAcentral describes it as "partial 16S ribosomal RNA". It matches the Rfam family "Bacterial small subunit ribosomal RNA", at positions 524 to 726 of the family's 1533-position model. The record is from RNAcentral.